This 5169-nucleotide long non-coding RNA is filed under the name Glycine max (soybean). RNAcentral describes it as "long non-coding RNA (GMAX_LNC003276)". Lineage: Eukaryota; Viridiplantae; Streptophyta; Magnoliopsida; Fabales; Fabaceae. The record is from RNAcentral.
AGAGAUAAGGAGAAAUUCCAGCUUUUUCUUAUUCAUCCUUCUGUUAUUUACAUAAUAUUUAUAGAUCCUAGGAAGGAAUAGUUUCUUCUAGAAUUGGUAUAAUCCUAGGAAUCUAACUAAUUUCUGUUAUGGAUGCUUUUUCUCUCAGGUACGCAGCAUCCGCAGGAGGAUUGUGGAGGAUCUUGUGAGCUGGCAAUUUCCAUUGGAUACCUUCAGAUGAAAUCUUUCAAAUAGGUGGGCUUUUUGACCUUUCUUUUGACUAUUGGUUCCUUCUGCACCCCAUUUUCUGUAAGUUCACCUUCCGUGUUUGCUGCUAUGUCUCUGUUGUCCCUGAUUGAAGCUUCUCUGUUCAUAACACUCUGCGGCCCUUGUAGACGCACCUUGUCCUCAAGGUGGAAGUCUUGCUGUAACUGCUCCCAAUCCUCCCAUGAAGUCUCAUCGGGAGAGAGUCCCUGCCACUGAACCAGCACUUCCUAAGUUCCUUAUGUCGGGUGCCUUCUUGAAUCCAAAAUAGCUAAGGGGUAUACUACCGGUUGGUCAUUGACAAAAGUGGAAGGUAAAUGCAACUCGGAGUGUUGCUCGGGAUUUCCUCGAAAAGGCUUAAGCUUAGAACAAUGAAAUACAGGAUGAAUCCUGGCUGAGUCUGGUAAUUUCAGCUUAUAAGCUACAGGGCCAAUGCGGUCUUCCACCUGAAAGGGGCCAUAGAAACGUUUUGCGAGCUUGCCGGCUGUUGGUUGUGGUCCUUUGGCUGAGGUCUGUCGGAGAGGACGAAGACGAAGGAGAACCCAAUCACCUAUCUGAUGUUGGGUAUCGUGUCUCUUACUAUCAGCUUGCCUCUUCAUAAUCUCCUGUGCCUUAAGGAGUUUCUUGCGAAUCGGCUGGAAGGUAGCAUCUCGGUCAGUCAGUAAAUGCUCCACUGCUUCAACAUUGGAAGACCCUGUGAUAUACUCAGGGAAAUUGAAGGGUUUCUUACCAAAAGUGACCUCAUAUGGUUUUGUUCCCGUGCCGGCAUUCCACGACGUGUUAUGGGACCACUCAAUCCAUGGCAACACUUUUCCCCACCUAUUGGGUCGCCGAUGGACAAAUGCUCUGAGAUACUGCUCCACUACCCUGUUAAGCACUACCGUUUGCCCAUCGCUCUGGGGAUGAUACGCAGAGCUCAUGCGUAAAUGAGUACCACUAGCUUUGAACAGCUCUUGCCAAAAUCGGCUAAUAAAGAGGGGGUCCCUAUCGGAAACCAAGCUACGAGGGACCCCAUGUAUUUUGACCACCAUGUCAAUGAACAAAGAUGCCACCAUAUGAGCUGUGUGGGAUGUUGGUAACAUUCCCAGGUGAAUCCCUUUCGAAAAACGGUCCACCACCACAAGGAUUGUAGUGUUUCCAUGAUACGCCGGCAACCCGACAAUAAAGUCUAACGAGAGGUCUUCCUAGGGCCGAUGGGGAACCGGUAAGGGACAUAGUAGCCCGGCAACCCUUUGUGUCUGGUAUUUAGUGACUUGGCAAUCAAAGCAGUUGGCCACGAAUUGCUUGACGUCCUCCCUGAGACCAGACCAAGUAAAAUUCUCGGAAAUUCGGGCCAGUGUCUUUGUGACUCCAGCAUGACCCCCGGUUGGAGUAGUAUGAUAUUCCUGAAGUAAUGUGGCCGUGAUUGGGAGGUCCCUAGGAAGCCAAAUGCGCCCUCCUGUUAAAAUCAAAUCCUGGGUAAUGGAGAAUGCAGGAUGAUUAUAAGGUGUGUCCCUAAUUUCCUGUUUCCGGCGGCAGAACUCAGGGUGAGCUUCUAAUUGGCGUCGUAAUUCAUUCAGGAAGGUCAGAGAAGGAACGGAAAGAAUUAAGCAUUGAGAGGGUAUUGGUUCCCGUUGUCGGGACAAGGCAUCGGCGACCUUGUUUUGGUGUCCUGAACGGAACUGAAUCACAUAAUCAUAUCCCAAAAGUCGAGCCAAGUACUUAUGUUGCUCGGGAGUUUGAAUUACUUGGGUGAGUAAUUCCUUGAGACUGCGGUGGUCCAUGAUGAUGAUGAAACGUUGUCCUAACAGGUAUUGCCGCCACCGUUUGACCGCGGUGGUUAUGGCAACUAGCUCACGUACAUAGGUGGAAGCCACUGCGAGUUUGGGAGGAAACGGUUUGCUGAAAAACGCCACAGGGUGGCCUUUCUGGGUGAGCACGGCUCCCAUGCCACUACCGGAAGCGUCAGUCUCCACAGUGAAUGGGGACGUGAAGUCCGGGAGAGCUAAGACCGGAGCGGUGGACAGGGCCGUCUUCAACUGAUCAAAAGCGUCUUGAGUCUGGGGGGUCCAGGCAAAAGCGUCCGUCGUAGUUAGUCGAACUAAAGGGGCGGCGAUGGUGGCAUAGUGGCGGAUAAAUCGCCGAUAAAACCCGGCAAGUCCGAGAAAACUCUUGACAGCUUUAGCCGAGCGUGGUGUCGGCCAUUGUCGAAUAGCUUCAAUUUUAGAGGCUACUGGUUCAACCCCCUUAUGAGACACAACAUGGCCAAGAUAUUCAACCUGUUUCUGCGCAAAGGAACAUUUAGAAAGUUUAAGAACAAAAUUAUGGUCAAGCAGGAGCUGGAAAGUAAUUGUCAGAUGGUGAAGAUGAGCCUCGAAUGAAGUGCUGUACACCAAGAUAUCAUCGAAGAAAACGAUGAUAAAGCGGCGGAGGUGCUGUCGGAAUAUGCUAUUCAUGGUGGCCUGAAAGGAACUUGGUGCAUUGCAGAGCCCAAAUGGCAUUACUUUGAAUUCGUAAUGUCCAUGGUGGGUUCUGAAAGCAGUCUUAGGUAUAUCGGGGUCGUGCAUGCGUAUUUGGUGAUAUCCUUGAAGUAAAUCAAGCUUAGAGAAGUACUGAGCACCGCCCAAUUCGUCCAACAAUUCAUCAAUUGUCGGAAUCGGAAACCGGUCACGAACCGUGACGGCGUUAAGGGCUCUGUAAUCAACGCAGAAUCUCCAAGAGCCGUCUGUCUUGCGGACGAGAAGAACGGGGGAUGAAAAAGGACUUGUACUUGGUCUGAUGAGUCCUUUUUGUAACAUAUCAUUGACUUGCUGCUCGAUCUCCUUCUUCUGGUAAUGGGGAUAUCUAUACGGAUGGACAUUCACGGGAUUGGUGUGGGGAAGGAGGUGGAUAUGGUGGUCGGUGUCACGGUUAGGAGGUAAGCCGGAGGGGUUCUGAAAUAGGGUCGAGAAACGUGUAAGUAAGGCUUGGAUUUCGGGGGUUAAGGUGUGUGGUGGUGGAGGUUCAGGGUUGUCGGUGAUGAGCGCAAUACGGAAAUAAGAGGCUUGGGUCUGUGUCCGGCAAAGUCGCCGGAGUUGAUGGUGAGUGAUGAACCCGGAGUCAUUCGUGUUCUCCCCUUUUAAUUCUAUUAACUGAUUUUGAUAAAAGAAUUGCAUCCGCAGAGAGCCGUAGUCAGUGAGAAUGGGGCCCAGGGUCUUGAGCCACUGGACUCCCAAGACCACGUUGGCGCCGACAAUAGGUAGUACGUGUAAGUCCAUGGUGAACAUGACGUCCUGAAUCAUGAUGGAACACCUUCGCAGACGCAAGCGCAAUCCAAGUGUUGGCCAUUGCCAACCAUCACGCGCAAUGGUGAAAUACGGCGGCAGGGAAGGCCCAAUUGGGUCACUAAUACGGGCUGCACGAAGUUGUGGGUGCUGCCGCCGUCAAUGAGCAGCACCACACGGUGGUCAGCCAUAAGUCCCACCAUACGCAAAGCCUCAGGUGCCAGGUGGCCCGAAAAUGAAUUAAGGCUUAUUUGGGCCUGAAAUGGGUCGGGUUCAUGAGGCGGGUCGGGUGGCGGGUCAGGGGGGUCUAUUUUAGAGUCUGAGGGGUCCUCGUCUUCAGUCACUAAGAGGAAAGCCCUAGCGGCGCAGCGAUGGCCGCGAUGGUAACGUUCAUCGCAGGUGAAGCAUAACCCACGCUCACGGCGUGAGGUUAGCUCCUCCGGCGUGAGACGUUUCAUAAUAGGCGGGGUAGGGCGUGGAGGGGCCGGAAGCAAAGGGGGAAGGGUUUGACGAGGUUCAGCGGAAGCAGGGAGAACACGAAGGGGGUUAGGUUGCGGAGGUGGUGCGCGAGGGCGUGAGGGAAGGCGGUUGUCGGAAAUCUUUUCUUCCUGAAGCUUCGCGAGGCCCGCGGCCUGGACCAGGGUGAGGGGCUGAUGAGCUUGGACUUCCCGGCGAAUCUCCGGGUUAAGACCGGAAAUGAAGCAGCUCAGCAGGAACGGAGAUGGCAGUCCGAUGACCCUGUUCGCGAGGUCCUCGAAUUCCGAAAGGUACUGAUUGACUGACCCCUUCUGUGUCAACUUAAAUAAAACACCUGUUGGGUCUUCGUAUUGUGACAGAGCAAAUCUGGUUUGUAGGGCUUGUAAGAAUCCAGGCCAUGAGGUAAACUGGGCAUUGCUUGACAUCCAUUGGAACCAAGCAAGUGCCCGGCCCUCCAUAUAAAAAGAAGCUAUGGUGAGAUGGUCUCGCUCAGGGGUUCCAUGAUAUUCGAAAUACUGAUUGAUUUUGAAUAUCCAACCUAAAGGUUCUGUUCCAUCAAAUCUGGGAACCUCUAAUUUCAUUUUAUGUUGUGUGGCAGGAACAGGGGAGGGCGGAGGUGGUUCAGGUUGCGGGGAAGGGAAAGAGGUCGGACGAUGAAGCAGUUCGUCAAGUUUGAGGUUCAUGGUCUGCAUAGUAUCUGUGAGACGGGUGAGGAUGGAUUCCAGGUUGGGUGAUGAUGAAUCGUGUGGACCGGUCAUGGUGGCAGCGGAAACGAGAGCACCAAUGUUAUGAACGUGGCUGAUUUAGAGGUUCAGCUCCUCCAGAGAAUAGAAGGAAAUUCUAGAGGUUUCAGAGAUAAGGAGAAAUUCCAGCUUUUUCUUAUUCAUCCUUCUGUUAUUUACAUAAUAUUUAUAGAUCCUAGGAAGGAAUAGUUUCUUCUAGAAUUGGUAUAAUCCUAGGAAUCUAACUAAUUUCUGUUAUGGAUGCUUUUUCUCUUAGGUACGCAGCAUCCGCAGGAGGAUUGUGGAGGAUCUUGUGAGCUGGCAAUUUCCAUUGGAUACCUUCAGAUGAAAUCUUUCAAAUAGGUGGGCUUUUUGACCUUUCUUUUGACUAUUGGUUCCUUCUGCACCCCAUUUUCUGUAAGUUCACCUUCCGUGUUUGCUGCUAUGUCUCUGUUGUCCCUGAUUGAAGCUUCUCUGUUCAUAAC